AACUAUUGAAACGAUUGAAACUCCCACAUUCAUCUAAUUUUAAAUAACAUUCACUCCCCUACUAACAUUUUAGUUUCCUUUUCUCUAUUAUCUAAACCUUGCUAUCCAUCUCAUUUUCCAUCAUUACUAAGUAUAAUUUCUUUCUAUUUAUAAGUUGUUUUUCCUUAUUUGUUUAAUUUUCAUCACGUUCAAGUGUCUUUGAAGUUUCAUUCCAAGCAUAGGUAUGUCUCAUGGCCUUAAAUUCAUGUGAUUUAAUUUUUGAAAUAGCUUGAAUGAGAGAAAAUUUUGAUUGUGUAUACUGGUGUGAGUUGAAAAAUAAUGAUGUAUGUUAUAUUAUAGUAGAGCCUAUGUUAGGGUGAAAUCUGAGUAACCCCACUAUGGUAUGAAUCUUGAUGGGAUCUUGAGUGAAAAUUAAGAUACUAUCAAGUAUAAAACGUAGGCACAAGUGUUCGACAAAAUGCCCCAAAGAUAUUGUGCUGAAUUGGGCAUUGCGAUGAGGUACCUAACAAACCGUCACAUAUGCGAUGGAUCAUCGGUACAAUCGUCAGCCCAAAAUUAUUGAAAGUUAGAACACUGGUUAAAUCACGAUGGAUAGGGAGACUGGCCAUCAUAGGUGCAACGAAUUGUAGCUUGUACCGUUGUUUCAUAUUAAAUUAAAGAAUGAUUCUAGAAAGGUACAAUGGUUAACACGAUGAGUCAUUGGACAUGCGAUGAACCAUCUAGUUUGGCGUCAGUGGUCUGCUAAUAACACUAUUUAAGGUGCGACAGGUGGGGCGACUGAUCGUUGCUUACUCGACGGAUCGUUGUCCUAGUCGUCGCCCUUAACCAGAUUUGUAUUUCAUUUCUACUAGACUCAUGAUUUCUGUUACCUAACUUUGUGUUUUUUACCUCGUAACUCAGGUAAUAUGACCCAAAAACUACCUUCAAAUAGAGGUGGAGGUAGAUUUCGGCCAUCUCAUAAGGAAAUCACCUCAAGACUUUGUGAUAAACCAAAAGGGGAUAUUGAAGCCCCGGCCUACCACACUUAGCAAAGUUAAAAGAAAUGUCAUCCACUCUCCUAAUCUAAUGAGGAGAGUGAAUCAUUGAGUAUAGAGGCCAACAGUGAAAGUGAAAGUAAAAGCAAUGGCAGUUCUACUUCAAGCCCGGAUGGUGGAGGAGAAAAAAAAGACUCCACUAAUCCUACCAAAGAUCCAGAAUAGAAGAAAGAUGAUAUAAUUCAUAGUGUGGAACCUGAGGUCUGAGAGACAAUCCGGUGAAAGGUUGAAGGGUUAAGGGUUAAGUAAACAUUACUAUGAUGACUUUCAAUUUACACAAAGCUGAAGUAUGAAAAGGCCAAUUGUCAAAGAAUUACAAAUCAUUACCACAGAUCUUCCGAAAUAUCCUAAUUUGGAGAGGUAAUUUAAUGACUAUGAGUUGGGAUAUUUGAGUAGACCCCUUAAAUCAUGUUACCACAAUAUUUUUAAGUAAUUCUUUGCAAAUUACCUAGCAAUAUUGGAGAAAGAUUGUCCAAAAGGGUCAAAGGUGGCUAAUAUGAGGAAUAUGACUGGAAUCCUAGUAAGACGAGUAACUAUGGACAUCUCAAAUCACACCAUCAAUCGAAUAUUAUGCGGUCGGCUAUAUACCAUUCCCAUAAUUACCCCGAAGCUUGAGCAUCGAAUGAUUACUGUAUCUACUCAGAGGCUGUGGUUAGUAAAAAUUUUGAUAGAUAGUGGGGACCCAUCAUAACUAAGGAAAAGAGAGAGAUUUGAGAAAUCUAUAUUGAUAUUAAAAGCUAAAUUUUGGUGGGAUGUGGUAAGAUUGAGUUUUAUGCCGAUAGGGGAAGAUGCAAAUUUUGAUCCACAACGGGUAGCGUUGGUGGUCAUUUUGAUUGAAGGGAUGAAAAUUAACUUCGGCCAAAUUAUAGAUGAUAAGUUAUUUGUGAGGGCAUAAAAAAUUCUAGUGCUCUGCCUUUCCCUUUAUUAUUAAUGAGUUUUGUAGGCAGAAAAAUAUGCCAAUUAUUCAAGGAGUAAAUAAUAAAGUUCGGGCUACAAGGAGACAUGACAUUAAGAAGAUGAGGGUUGCACAAAGUUUGAGAUGAGAGUGCAUAAGUCACCUACAUUUGUGACAUAGUCCUAAAUCAAUCCAGAGGCAUCAGAUGGACCUUUAGAUAUGUCGUUGCCUAUUGCUAUGAUUAUUUUGCAUGGCACUUCUGCAGUAUCAGGGUCGAUGCUUAUAGCUCCUACUGUUGAGACUAUAUAUACAAUAUCCAUGGCACCAAUGUUUCAAAGUACAGGUUGACCCCAAAAAUUUUGUAAAAAUGGUUAAAGCUUAGAAAAAGUUUGAACUACAACUUAAUAUUUGGGCAAAAAAGUUUAAGCCGUUUGUGGACAGAGUUGUAACGCAGGUUUUGAAUCUAUAUAAGGAUCUACACACAAGAAUGGAUGAUAUGGAAGAAAGGGUGAACAAAAGGCUGAGAGAGAAAUUCUAGAUCAAUCUAGGUUCAAUGCAGAGUUAAAGCAGACACAAAAUAAUAUAGCUGAGUUGCAAAGGCAACUAAUUCUAGGAUAUUUUGACCCAAUAUUUGUAGAGGUAGAUGAAAAAGAUGACAUUAUUAAUAUGAUGGGACUACCAUUGAAAGUCAAAGGUAAAGCUGUGAGUGAAAGUGGUGAGAAGAGAUCUUCAAGAAAUAAAAAGCAUAGGGAUGAUAAGAAUGAAGAAAGAGUUGUGCAAAAUUCAAUGAGAAGAUCAAGAAAAUAUGAAAAAGCAAGAAAGAUGAGAGUUGAAGAUGAAGCUUCUGGUGUGUCUACUAGUUCAGCUUUGGGAGGUGGUCAUAGGACAUUGGUUUUACGAGUAUCCACUCUAGUUUCUAAGGAAGUGGGUAAUUUAAGCACCACAAUUAUUGCUGGAGUCACUAUUGAUAAUACCAAGGCCAGUGAGGCCUCCCAUGUUUCGACAGAUUCCCAACCGUAAAGGCUUUUCAAGUAUUCUACUCCUCUGUACUUUACUAAUUAUUCAUUGAGGACAAAAUAUUUUUUUAGUAAGGGUAGGGUACUUGUAUCUAUUAGGUAGUCUAUCGCCACGAGGGUGUUUAUAGCCUGCGUUCUUUUCCAUCAUGCAUUAUCUAGGAGAACUAUCAUAUUUAGGAGUUUUAUUUCAUUAUUCUAUUUUUAUUAUUUUCAUGUGACUAUACAUAUGUUCUAUUUUUAUUUCUUUCAUGUGAUUGUACAUAUCAUAUGUGCUGUAAGAAAAUAAUUGAAUGAAAAGUUAUUGGAGUUGUUGGAAUGUUGUAAAAUAAGGACAAUCCUAAGAAAAAAAUUUAUAAUCUUGUAAAUAUUCUUUGAUGAUUAACCAUUGUAGAUCUAUACUUGGCAUUAGAAUCGCCAGGUAAAGUAAGUGUGUUUAAGCUAAACGCAAGUCUGAAGAUUAGUACCAUAAGUAAUAGUUCACCGCUAUGUGUGUGAGGAUUUUCUGCAUUUCCUACUUUGUGUAUGCAUCUAGAAUUUGCCUGGUUCAAUGUGUUAAGUGAUAGUUGGUUAAUAGGAUAGGAUCACAAGCCAUUUUUCAAUUGAGUCUACUUAGCCUUAAAAGCCUGACAAAAAAUGUAGUUAUUUGUAUACUCCUUUGGUCCCUUUUUAAGCUAAUAACUUUUUAUUUAGCACCCUUAACUCACCCUUUUCUAUUUUUAAAUCCCUAUUUUGUCCCUAGUCCCUCCUUGGACAUUGUGCACUUCAACUCAAGCAAAUUUUCAAAGUUGAGGGUGGCUACUAUAAAGAGUUAACAAGUUAAUGGUAAGUUAAGGAAAGUUUGGGUAAUAGAUUUUUUCACUAGCCCUGGUCCCUUCUGGAUAUUGUGCACCUCAACUUUUAGCAUCAAUAUAAACUGAGGAUGGCUAGUGUGAAAGGUUUAAUAAAUGAUCUAAAUCAAGAGGUUGGAACUGUUUAAUAGGAGUUGUACAAGUAUAUUUCAAAAAACGGCUUUAGGUCACUAAGAGGGCAACAUAAAGUGGAAACUAAAUUUAUAUAGUAGCAACGAUAGCAAGAAGGGUUGAGACACUAUUUCAAAAACAUAUCUUACCUGUACCCAAACCUUCAUUAUAAGCCUAAGUAAGUCAUGUAGUGAUCCUUGUUAAUCAACUUGAUGGAAUGAUAAGGGCAAGCCUAUGGCUUUGCGUAUACUUUGUUUGGAAUUUAUUGUGAGAGUGAGAGAUUUAAAUAAUGGUCCUUGAUUUAAAUCGAUCAAUGUGCCAUUAUUUGUUUUGAGAUGAGCGCAUGUGAACUAUACUUAUGAUUGCUGAUCCUUGGAUGUGGUGUUCUAUGUCUAUACAUGUAACCUAGCUAGAGUGUGAUGCCAAGUAUGUAUUCCUAUGAUUUAGGAUUACAAAAUUUAUGUGCAUAUUAAAUUGUUAGUCCUUAAUAUCUGUAAUAGUUUCUCAUUCUUUCUUGAUCUAAAUACAUAUAUGAUAUUAUGUUGAGUUGCUUGAGGACAAACAAGCAUCUUAAGUUAAGGGUGUUGAUGUAUCGGCUUCUGAUGGUGUAUUUUACACCUUUUACGAGGGAUAAUUAUUUGUUUUCUAGAAACUGGUGGUGGUAUUUGAUAUGUUUUGUGCUUAUUCUCAGGAGUUAAACUUAGAAGCUUGAAAAGUUAUGAAAGUCAAGAACUUAAGAAUUUGCAACGAAUUAACUGACUGACGGGUCUGAGUCAAGAUGGACCAUCGAACUGCCACCGCCCUUAAGAAGAAUAUCAUAAAUAUCUGAGAUGGACGACGCCUUAAGUGAUGGAUUAUCAAGGUAUUGAUAUGUCAUCAUCGCGAUCAUCGGAGUUAACUAGAAUGUAUGUAAAAUUAGGAGUCAGUGACAAAAUGAGCAACGAGCCGUCGGCCCUACAACGAACCAUCUCCUAGGCCGUAGCCAACAACGCCGUAGUAGUAAAGCUCUGGAACAUCCGGGAUAGUUCAGCCAAUGAACCGUCGCUGCCCUGACAAACCACCAGGUGAACCGUCGGUGUUAAUGCG
Molecule: long non-coding RNA, 4990 nt
Filed under: Capsicum annuum
Lineage: Eukaryota; Viridiplantae; Streptophyta; Magnoliopsida; Solanales; Solanaceae
Description: long non-coding RNA (CANN_LNC006944)
Source: RNAcentral